RNAcentral lists this ribosomal RNA (182 nucleotides) under uncultured bacterium. RNAcentral describes it as "partial 16S ribosomal RNA". It matches the Rfam family "Bacterial small subunit ribosomal RNA", at positions 1319 to 1500 of the family's 1533-position model. The record is from RNAcentral.
CGUGAAGUUGGAAUUGCUAGUAAUCGCGGAUCAGCAUGCCGCGGUGAAUACGUUCCCGGGCCUUGUACACACCGCCCGUCACACCAUGGGAGCUUGUAACACCCGAAGUCAGUAUCCUAACCGCAAGGGGGGAGCUGCCGAAGGUGGGAUAAGCGACUGGGGUGAAGUCGUAACAAGGUAAC